Molecule: ribosomal RNA, 490 nt
Filed under: uncultured bacterium
Lineage: Bacteria
Description: partial 16S ribosomal RNA
Rfam family: Bacterial small subunit ribosomal RNA
Source: RNAcentral
AUUGAACGCUGGCGGCAGGCCUAACACAUGCAAGUCGAACGGUAACAGGAAGAAGCUUGCUUCUUUGCUGACGAGUGGCGGCCGGGUGAGUAAUGUCUGGGAAACUGCCUGAUGGAGGGGGAUAACUACUGGAAACGGUAGCUAAUACCGCAUAACGUUGCAAGACCAAAAAGGGGGACCUUCGGGCCUCUUGCCAUCGGAUUUGCCCAGAAUGGAUUAGCUAGUAGGUAGGGUAACGGCUCACCUAGUCGACGAUCCAUAGCUGGUCUGAGAGGAUGACCAGCGAGACUGGAACUGAGACACGGUCCAGACUCCUACGGGAGGCAGCAGUGGGGAAUGUUGCACAAUGGGCGGAAGCCUGAUGGAGCGAUGCCGCGUGUAUGAAGAAGGCCUUCGGGUUGUAAAAUACUUUCAGCGGGGAGGAAGGGAGUAAAGUGAAUACCUAUGCUCAUUGACGUUACCCGCAGAAGAAGCACCGGCUAACUACGUG